GGUGGGCAGGUGUUGAACGGGCUCCCUGGUUUUUGAACGGUGGGUUGCCGUGCAGUCUGCUGCUGCUCGUGAAAUCGGCUUAGGGGCUCCUAACCAGCACGGACGCAUGAAGAGAAGAUCUUCAGGUUGUCUCUUUGCAUUUCCAAAUGAAUCUUCGCAUCAGCUUCCCCAGCUCUUCCCAGAAGCCUAUGUCUGUUUACGUUGGGAUUGCUGGGGAGAGUUGAGGCCUCUGCGGUAUUUGCUUCUCCGGUUUACUAGGCAGAAAUCUUUCAAAAAGUCUCAAAAGUUUUCCCGGUUUCUCCGCAAAGAUCUUUUGCAUGUUAGAUUUAUUCCUAGAUUGGGGUGCCUGGGUGGUUCAGUCGGUUAAGCGUCCGACUUCAGCUCAGGUCAUGAUCUCACGGUUCAUGGGUUCAAACCCCACGUCGGGCUCUGUGCUGACAGCUCGAGUCUGGAGCCUGCUUCUGGUUCUCUGUCUCACCCUCUCUGCCCCUCCCCCGCUUGUGCUCUGUCUCUGUCUCUCAAUAAUAAAUAAAUGUUAAAAAAAUUAGAUUUAUUCCUGGAUACUUCACUCCUUGAUGCUGUUAGGCCCCUCUCUUGCAAAUUGUUUGUUGCUAGGAAUACAGUUUUUAAAAGCCGAUUUUGUGUUCGGCUGCCUUGCUCAGUUUCAUUAUUCUCCAUGAUUUAUCUGUAGAUCGGUUUGGAUUUCUGACGUAGACGAUCAUGUGGUCUGUAAACGAUGCCCACUUUCUUCUCAAUCCUAGCGUGUUCUUCCUGGCCCUUGUUCCGUUCUUUAUCUCUCUCCCCUUGUCCUGUGAGCUCCUCUACUCCAAGGCAGAACCCACGAGCGCUGUGUCCCCUUGUCUGUUCCCGGUGUGCACAAAAGUUUUCCCGUCUCUACAACUGAGUGAGGUCCUCCAGGAGCAAGAGAGACGGGAGAGCGCUGGGUUUCAGGGGGAUGCACUGAAGAUCCUCUUACUAACAGAGAAGGUAUUAGGUGGCCCAGCCAGCCACAACAGCUCCGUUUUACUUCAUUCCUACUGAAUGUGUCACCAGGUGGUAGGGGAAGACCUGUAAACACGUUAUUACUGCAAAGGGGCGUAGAAUGUGUGAGCCUAAAAAUGCUGUGUUUAAAAAUAACAGCUCACCCUCGUUGAGCACUUUAUCAGUCACGGUUCGAUCGGGAACACAGAGGUGGUUCCGCAGAGGGAAGCUUCCCGCCUGAACAAAUAAUAAUGGCCUAGGAAGAGCCGCAGACGGCUAGGCAAGGCAGCCCAGAGCCCCCACCACCCUCUGGGCUGGAGGAACAGGUCCCUGGUGGCGUCAUCGCAGCCCGUUGGGGGCCGGAGCUGGAGGCUGGGACCGAAGGAGGGGCUCGGAGAGCUGGCCCCAGGGGGAAGCUGAAGACGACGCCAGAGAUGCUUCCAAAACCGAGGACAGAAACACUCGGGCUUCCCUCCUCCCAGCCUCCGGUGCCCGGUCGGACCGAGGUGGGAGCCAGCAGCCCUGAGCCCGGAGACAACUUGCAGGAGGAGCCUUCUGGGACCCUGAGCAGAGGGCGACAAUGGGUGUGGGGACACAGGCACCCCCGAGCACACGUGUUGCCCACUUUGUCCUUGAGGCCCCGUGACAAAGAAGCCAGGUAGAGUAGAAGCUCAGGUAGAGUCACAGGCUAAGCCUGGCGUCACCAGACCAAGACAGUCACAGUUUUGGGUCUCCCAGUAAUGGACUCUUACCAGUCAGUCAGGAGUCGCCCGGUGGGCACUAGUUACAUGGUCUCACCGAUGGAACCCUGCCGUCUCCUGAAGGAAAGUAACAGAUGCGAUGACCACCCUGUGUUUCCGUGUCGGGUGACUGCCUUGUUCCGGCCCCCUUCUGCCUGCGGGAGUCUGCGCAUGGCUUCUCGGAGCCCGUCUGUCUGCUGGCUGGAUGCCACCGAUCCUGAAUUAUUGAAGAGAGGCAGAAGGAUCUUUAAAAUGUGGCUUCUCCCCUUGUGUUAUUUUCAGAAGCUUUGAAAGCCCAGGAAGAGAAAGCACUCUUUCAACGUGACAAUUAAUACCAACUCCCCGGACACCAAACCGAGAGAUCUUAUUUUUCCUUUCUCUCCACGAGCACCGUUUGCUGGGUCCAGAAACAACCACCAAAGUAAAACCCCAGAUUUUCCGGGUGAGAGGUUCCGAACCGUCAUGGGGAAGCGUAUUCUUUCCCACCGGUCGUUGCAAGCACGAAACGGGCCCUUCCUGUGCCGGUAGCUGGACUGGGCAGGUGGCUCGUGGCUCUGGUGCGGCUCAGCUGUGUUAUUCCCGACGCUUCGGUCACCUUCACUUCCCAACUGUAUGGAUUCACUGUUUAAAAAUAUGAGACUAUGGGGACGCCUGGGUGGCUCAAUCGAUUAAGUGUCCGACUCGAUUUCAGCUCAGGACAUGAUCUCACAGUUCGGGAGUUCGAGCCCCACGUCAGGCUCUGCGGAGCCUGCCCGGGAUUCUCUCUCUGCUCCCCUCACCUCGCUCUCAAAAUAAAGGAAUGAACUAAAAAAAUAAAAA
Molecule: long non-coding RNA, 2540 nt
Organism: Acinonyx jubatus (cheetah)
Lineage: Eukaryota; Metazoa; Chordata; Mammalia; Carnivora; Felidae
Exons: 3
Source: RefSeq, a predicted model, not a curated record